UUUAUAUGAGAGUUUGAUCCUGGCUCAGGAUGAACGCUGGCGGUGUGCCUAAUACAUGCAAGUCGAACGCGUUGGCCCAAUUGAUUGAUGGUGCUUGCACCUGAUUGAUUUUGGUCGCCAACGAGUGGCGGACGGGUGAGUAACACGUAGGUAACCUGCCCAGAAGCGGGGGACAACAUUUGGAAACAGAUGCUAAUACCGCAUAACAGCGUUGUUCGCAUGAACAACACUUAAAAGAUGGCUUCUCGCUAUCACUUCUGGAUGGACCUGCGGUGCAUUAGCUUGUUGGUGGGGUAACGGCCUACCAAGGCGAUGAUGCAUAGCCGAGUUGAGAGACUGAUCGGCCACAAUGGGACUGAGACACGGCCCAUACUCCUACGGGAGGCAGCAGUAGGGAAUCUUCCACAAUGGGCGCAAGCCUGAUGGAGCAACACCGCGUGAGUGAAGAAGGGUUUCGGCUCGUAAAGCUCUGUUGUUAAAGAAGAACACGUAUGAGAGUAACUGUUCAUACGUUGACGGUAUUUAACCAGAAAGUCACGGCUAACUACGUGCCAGCAGCCGCGGUAAUACGUAGGUGGCAAGCGUUAUCCGGAUUUAUUGGGCGUAAAGAGAGUGCAGGCGGUUUUCUAAGUCUGAUGUGAAAGCCUUCGGCUUAACCGGAGAAGUGCAUCGGAAACUGGAUAACUUGAGUGCAGAAGAGGGUAGUGGAACUCCAUGUGUAGCGGUGGAAUGCGUAGAUAUAUGGAAGAACACCAGUGGCGAAGGCGGCUACCUGGUCUGCAACUGACGCUGAGACUCGAAAGCAUGGGUAGCGAACAGGAUUAGAUACCCUGGUAGUCCAUGCCGUAAACGAUGAGUGCUAGGUGUUGGAGGGUUUCCGCCCUUCAGUGCCGGAGCUAACGCAUUAAGCACUCCGCCUGGGGAGUACGACCGCAAGGUUGAAACUCAAAGGAAUUGACGGGGGCCCGCACAAGCGGUGGAGCAUGUGGUUUAAUUCGAAGCUACGCGAAGAACCUUACCAGGUCUUGACAUCUUGCGCCAACCCUAGAGAUAGGGCGUUUCCUUCGGGAACGCAAUGACAGGUGGUGCAUGGUCGUCGUCAGCUCGUGUCGUGAGAUGUUGGGUUAAGUCCCGCAACGAGCGCAACCCUUGUUACUAGUUGCCAGCAUUAAGUUGGGCACUCUAGUGAGACUGCCGGUGACAAACCGGAGGAAGGUGGGGACGACGUCAGAUCAUCAUGCCCCUUAUGACCUGGGCUACACACGUGCUACAAUGGACGGUACAACGAGUCGCGAACUCGCGAGGGCAAGCAAAUCUCUUAAAACCGUUCUCAGUUCGGACUGCAGGCUGCAACUCGCCUGCACGAAGUCGGAAUCGCUAGUAAUCGCGGAUCAGCAUGCCGCGGUGAAUACGUUCCCGGGCCUUGUACACACCGCCCGUCACACCAUGAGAGUUUGUAACACCCAAAGUCGGUGGGGUAACCUUUUAGGAGCCAGCCGCCUAAGGUGGGACAGAUGAUUAGGGUGAAGUCGUAACAAGGUAGCCGUAGGAGAACCUGCGGCUGGAUCACCUCCUUUCUA
Molecule: ribosomal RNA, 1580 nt
Filed under: Limosilactobacillus fermentum
Lineage: Bacteria; Bacillati; Bacillota; Bacilli; Lactobacillales; Lactobacillaceae
Description: bacterial SSU rRNA
Rfam family: Bacterial small subunit ribosomal RNA
Source: RNAcentral